GAUGUGCAGAAUCUUAGGACUAGUGC
This 26-nucleotide non-coding RNA is filed under the name Homo sapiens (human). The record is from RNAcentral. Lineage: Eukaryota; Metazoa; Chordata; Mammalia; Primates; Hominidae.